RNAcentral lists this transfer RNA (64 nucleotides) under Anaxarcha zhengi. RNAcentral's name for it is "tRNA-Phe". The record is from RNAcentral. Lineage: Eukaryota; Metazoa; Arthropoda; Insecta; Mantodea; Hymenopodidae.
AUUCAAAUAUCUUAUAUAGAGUAUAACAUUGAAGCAGUUAUUGAGAUAAAUUUAUCUUUGAAUA